GUCGGGCCUUUGUUGCCUGCUGAGGAGUAGGGAAGGCGCUGGCGUUGGGGCACCAGGGGACAGGGGGCGUCCCAAGGGCCUUUUGUGUCACCAGCACAGUGUUGCCGAGUGGGCAGUGGUUUGCCCAGUGACGGGGACGGCGGCUGUGGCCCCUCACCCGGCACCGCGCCCCCCCUUUAUUCACUGACUUCUGGGAGCAGCGGGAGUUUUCCUGAGGAGACUCUCUAGAGAGACUUGGAGGGGGGCGUCAGUCUCGGGAGGGCGCUGGCCCGGUCCCCGCCACCAUACAGGGUCCCCCAGCACGGUCGGAGCGAUCACCUCGAAAUCUCCAAAGAAACCCGGGUGUGAGAAGCAGCGUGGGGCUGGGGAGGAACAUGAGCUCUGACACAGAAUGUUCCUUGAUGUGGCCGUAAGCUUCACCCCCAAAGAAGAACGUGCCUGCACGCUGCCUUCAGAGGAAGCUCUAUGGGGACUUGAUGCUGUAGACCUGCCAGCACCUGCAGGCUGUCGCUGGGAACCAUGUGUGGCCGACUUUCCUGGAAGAUCCACUGGGGCUCCUGUCAGGAAUUUCUAUUCUCACACGUCAAGAAGCAAAGCCUCCGUCACUUCAAAUCUCCCUGAUCUGGUGACUCCCGGAGACUGCCCACUGGGUCAGGAAUUUGAAUUUUUAUUCUCACACGUCAAGAAGCGAAACCCCUCUCAUUUCAGAUCUCCCUGAUCUGGUGACUCCCGGAGACUGCCCACUGGUUCCCAUUUUGUUGUUGCCGUACUUCUGCGCCACACCCUAAAGUGCUCAGGCCUUACUCCUGACUCUGAACUCAGGAAUCACUGCUGCCAGUCGCCCAUAAGCUUUGCAUGGGUACUGGUCUUGGGUCUUGCACAGAGCUUAUUUCAGAUCCUCAGGAAUUAGAGAUGGGAAGAUGGUGACACGCUUUCUGAUUCACUGUCCACAGAAAAAUAAUUUCUGCUUCACCUGUCAGGUUUCAGAGCAAUCUCUCAUUGACGGAGGUAUUUCUCCCGGACCAGAGGCUGCCCCUUCUGUUCUGGUGAUUCCCUGGACCCACGUGCUGAUCCUUGGGAAUUACAGAAGCUGCAGACAAUGUUGAAGAGCCAUCUGAUACACUGUUCCCAGGUUGGAGGAGAACAAUGUGGUGACAUGAUGCAGUGACAGGCAGAAAGGAAAUCGUAGCUUCAGGGGUUUUCACUGCAACAAUUUGAUUUGGGAAUUGAGUCACCAAAAACGAGUGAAUUGGGAAGCAGCCAGCCCUAGUGGAAUGUCUCUGAUCCUGCACUGUGUGACAGUGUCUCAGAGUGAGCAAUCUCGCCCUCUGCCCCAUGGGGAUGCCGAGACAGGCCUAAUGUCUUCUGAGGGUGAUCAGAGUGGAGAGAUCAACCUCACAGUGAAGAAGCUUUCCCCUGGGAAAAACUCCUCACAGUCUGUUCUCCUCAGUUUCUGGACACAAACCCCUCAAGGCAGAAGCCCCAGGACAGUGGGAGAGGAGCACCGUUUAUGAAAGAGUCAUUCUGGAGAGAAACCAUAUUCAUGUCAGGACUGUGGAAACGUCUUUGCUUAUCACUCAAGCCUUUCUGUGCACAAGGAUAAUCACACUGGAGAGAAACAGUGACUGAAAUCAUCAGUAUGGAGUGGCCUCUGAAGAUCACUUAGAAGUAUGGAAUGCUGAGAAAGAGCUGUCUGGACCUGAUGCUAGACUUUGGUAGCUGAAUGAUGCUGGGGAGAGUUACCAGAUCCUCAUUUAGAUAGGAAGGCUGUGAGCAGAGGUGAUCUAAAUGGCAAGUUUAAGAUACAUGAAACUUAAAAGCGGUGAUAAAAUUGAGUGAUGUUCAGUAACAUCUCUGUAAUAUGAAUAAAAAUAUUGUGAUACGAUGCAAAGUCAAGGCAGAGAUAAUGCUAAUACUAUUGUUGUGCUUUGUUGCCUGUCUUCUUUUUUGGGGUCACAUGGUGAUGCUCAGGGGUUACUCCUGGCUUUACACUCAGAAAUCACUCCUGUUGGUACUCGGGGGACCAUAUGUGAUGGCAGGGAUAAAACCCAGGUCAUUUGCAUGCAAGGCAAAUGCCCUACCAGCUGUACUAUUGCUGUGGCCCAAGGCAGUCUUGUUCAUAUCUAGGGCAGUAGUCUUACAUUUCAAAGACUUUGGAAGUUAGAGGGCCAUAAGUCAUCUAACAAGUGUUGCAAAGAUGUGUACAUUUGUGGACGUCUGUUAGGCUUGAUCCAAUCCCUUGGCAGUAUUAAUGUAUUAAGGCCUUAUACUCGUAGACUUGAGGACUAGAAUCUGUCCAGACAGUCCUUGUUUACCUACCAGUAUUUAAGAAAUUAAAGUAGACCCACUCUUUUUGUAGAUUCCAAAUAUAAAUUGACAUAUAGAUGUGUAAAUUUUUUUCUGUGUGUGUAGGGGUGCACAGCUGGAGAUGCUCAGGCGUUACUCCAGUCUCUGCACUCAGGAACUAGUUCUAACAGUAAACCGGGGACCAUGUGAGAUGCUGGGGAUCAAAGCUUAUUUGGCUCUGGACAAGGCAAGUUCCUACUCAUUGUACUAUCUCUUCAGCCCCAGACAUGGAAACUUUUAUAAGAUAAUUUCAUUGAAGUUUUCUGUAGUUACUAAAAAAUAAAUAUUAUAAAGGUCUUUGUGAAAA
Sorex araneus (European shrew) is the source of this 2653-nucleotide long non-coding RNA. RefSeq lists it as uncharacterized. The record is from RefSeq and is a predicted model, not a curated record. NCBI's taxonomy places the organism in Eukaryota, Metazoa, Chordata, Mammalia, Eulipotyphla, Soricidae. The transcript is spliced from 12 exons.